Molecule: ribosomal RNA, 514 nt
Filed under: uncultured Actinomycetes bacterium
Lineage: Bacteria; Bacillati; Actinomycetota; Actinomycetes
Description: bacterial SSU rRNA
Rfam family: Bacterial small subunit ribosomal RNA
Source: RNAcentral
UGGGGAAUCUUGCGCAAUGGGCGAAAGCCUGACGCAGCGACGCCGCGUGAGGGAGGAAGGCCUUCGGGUUGUAAACCUCUUUCAGGAGGGACGAAGCUACUCGGGUGAAUAGCCCAGAGGGUGACGGUACCUCCAGAAGAAGCCCCGGCUAACUACGUGCCAGCAGCCGCGGUAAUACGUAGGGGGCAAGCGUUGUCCGGAUUUACUGGGCGUAAAGAGCGUGUAGGCGGCCAAGCAGGUCCGUUGUGAAAACUGGAGGCUUAACCUCCAGACGUCGACGGAAACCGCGUGGCUAGAGUCCGGAAGAGGAGAGUGGAAUUCCUGGUGUAGCGGUGAAAUGCGCAGAUAUCAGGAAGAACACCAAUGGCGAAGGCAGCUCUCUGGGACGGUACUGACGCCGAGACGCGAAAGCGUGGGGAGCGAACAGGAUUAGAUACCCUGGUAGUCCACGCCGUAAACGAUGGGUGCUAGGUGUGGGAGGUGUCGACUCCUUCCGUGCCGUAGCUAACGCUAA